RNAcentral lists this ribosomal RNA (440 nucleotides) under uncultured bacterium. RNAcentral describes it as "partial 16S ribosomal RNA". It matches the Rfam family "Bacterial small subunit ribosomal RNA", at positions 338 to 795 of the family's 1533-position model. The record is from RNAcentral.
CCUACGGGAGGCAGCAGUGGGGAAUAUUGCACAAUGGGGGAAACCCUGAUGCAGCGACGCCGCGUGCGUGAAGCAGUAUUUCGGUAUUUAAAGCUCUGUCAGCAGGGCAGAAAAUGACGGUACCUGCUUAAUACGCCCCUGCUAACUACGUGCCAGCAGCCGCGGUCAUACGUAGGGGGCAAGCGUUAUCCGGAUUUACUGGGUGUAAAGGGCGCGUAGAUGGCAGCACAAGUCUGGAGUGAAAUGCCGGGGCUUAACCCCGGAACUGCUUUGGAAACUGUGCAUCUAGAGUGCAGGAGAGGUAAGUGGAAGUCCUAGUGUAGCGGUGAAAUGCGUAGAUAUUAGGAGGAACACCAGUGGCGAAGGCGGCUUACUGGACUGUAACUGACGUUGAGGCUCGAAAGCGUGGGGAGCAAACAGGAUUAGAUACCCUAGUAGUC